This is a non-coding RNA of Hymenopellis radicata, 94 nucleotides long. Lineage: Eukaryota; Fungi; Basidiomycota; Agaricomycetes; Agaricales; Physalacriaceae. The record is from the annotation of a GenBank genome assembly.
UCUCUGAUAGUAUAUCGGUUAGUACACGCGCCUGUCAUGAUGUAUUCCCUGUACGUAGACGCGCGAAAGCUGGGUUCGACUCCCAGUCAGAGAG